RNAcentral lists this small nucleolar RNA (62 nucleotides) under Sorex araneus (European shrew). RNAcentral describes it as "Small nucleolar RNA Z39 (ENSSARG00000015079.1)". It matches the Rfam family "Small nucleolar RNA Z39". From Rfam's summary of the family: Z39 is a member of the C/D class of snoRNA which contain the C (UGAUGA) and D (CUGA) box motifs. The record is from RNAcentral. Lineage: Eukaryota; Metazoa; Chordata; Mammalia; Eulipotyphla; Soricidae.
GUGCAAGUGAUGAAGCAAAUCAGUAUGAAGAAAUAAUGAUACUGUAAACGCUUUCUGAUGUG